GAGUAAUAUGUUUUUCUUUUCAAUUCUGUAUUUCUUUUUCCUGGAAAAAAAGGAGCCUCUUAGCAGCAAUUCACUUCAAUUACAACCUAAACAGACCAUCAAAAAAGAAUGACAAAGGAGAGUGCCAAUUCAAUGUCAACUAUCCCAAGCAGAAAUAUGGGGAAGCAACUGUGAAAGAGGUAAAAUCUCAGCAGAAUUUUGAUUAUGUUAAAGAAAUUUAUCAAACAAUGCUUUGUACACCAAGAAAACAACUUAAGAUUGUAGAAGAUGAGCUGCAAGCAAGAAUUCCAAAACCAAUGUCUUCAUCAUUUGAUUUGGAAUCAAAAGCAGAAGCAAUUACAAAACACAAACAAAGGAAGGAAAUGGGGAUAACGAUUGUAGGGCCAACAUGUUCAGAGCAAGUGCUGCAAAAUGAGAUCAA
Exaiptasia diaphana is the source of this 421-nucleotide long non-coding RNA. RefSeq lists it as uncharacterized. NCBI's taxonomy places the organism in Eukaryota, Metazoa, Cnidaria, Anthozoa, Actiniaria, Aiptasiidae. The record is from RefSeq and is a predicted model, not a curated record. The transcript has 3 exons.